GCUUUCCAUUACCCUGUCUUCCAGAUCACUGCUCCAUUCUUCCGCAUUCUCUAAUCUGCUAUUGAUUCUCUCUAGUGUAUUUUUUAUUUCAGCUGUUGUAUUCUUCAGCUCUGAUUCUUUUUUAUAUUUUCUCUCUCUUUGUUGAAGUUCUCACUGAGCUCGUAUGCUUCUCUCAAAUCUGGUUUAACAUCUUAAUGACCGUUACCUUGUACUCUUUAUCAUAUAGAUUCCUUAUCUCUUUCAUAGUUCUCUUUCUGAGGUUUUGUCUUGUUCUUUUGUUUGGAACAUACUCUUCUGUUUCCUGAUUUUGUCUGACUCUGUGUUGUUUCUGUAUAUUAGGUAGGUCUGGUCUCCUGAUGUUUAAAGUAACGGCCUUAUGUAGAAGGUGUCCCAUGGGGCCCAGUAUCACAGUCCUCUGUACCAGUACCAGAACCAGGUGCUUUUCCAAACUGCUGUCUUUGUGUUGGAUCUCAGACGAAGUGAUACAGUGCUCUGGCCCUUUGAGUGGAGUCUUGGUUUCUUAUAGCCUUCUGGCUCUCUUGGAGUUAAGGUCCAGUUCCAAUUCCGUAUUUUACAUGAAGCCCAACCACUCCAGUUUUAGCUUUGGAAACUGCCACAUAACUAAGGACUGUAUCUCCUAGUCUCCCUUGAAAGUGUGGCCAUAUGACUACAUUCUGACUGAUGGGCUGUAAGUGGAAAUGAUGGCUGCAACUUCUAUGGCAUGUCCUUAAGAGGAAAAGGUAGACAGAACAAACGGUAUUUAUAGUUUAAAAAAAUUUAACACAGGUUGCCAGGCUGCUUUGCAAAUAGGUUGAAAAAGUUCACCUUUCUACCAGCAAUGUAAAACAAUACCUUUCACCUGAAUCCUCACUAGCAAGAGGUCAUUUAAAAUUUUGCCCAUGGGCGCCUGGGUGGCUCAGUUGGUUAAGCGACUGCCUUCGGCUCA
Callorhinus ursinus (northern fur seal) is the source of this 946-nucleotide non-coding RNA. The record is from RefSeq and is a predicted model, not a curated record. Lineage: Eukaryota; Metazoa; Chordata; Mammalia; Carnivora; Otariidae.